ACGAGGUAGAUAGGUUGGAGGUGGAAGUGCAGCAAUGCAUGGAGCUGACCAAUACUAAUCGGUCGAGGGCUUAUCCAAAUU
This 81-nucleotide ribosomal RNA is filed under the name Paenibacillus sp. FSL H8-0259. RNAcentral's name for it is "partial 23S ribosomal RNA". It matches the Rfam family "Bacterial large subunit ribosomal RNA", at positions 2847 to 2925 of the family's 2925-position model. Lineage: Bacteria; Bacillati; Bacillota; Bacilli; Caryophanales; Paenibacillaceae. The record is from RNAcentral.